GGGGGUGUACCGGUUUCGACAGAUAAGAGUAAUCUUGUGCUGCAGGUGAGGUUGCGUUUGACCUCUGAUCAGACGGAAAAAAUAACUGAAGACGAUUCUUUCGAAGAAAACGAGCAGUUUGCUCUCGCUGCCUAACAGCAGCGGAACCGGAACUCGUGUUGCGCUGUUCCUAGCGGCAUGAUGUUCUGUUACAAACAGGGACUUGCUUUGCAUAUUGUCCAGAAUAUGCAGGGGACUUCAUCUGGAAUACGGAGGCGACGCCUUUGAAGCCGCUACCGUCUCCCGACAACCACCUCGCUUCAAUAAACCUGUAGAGGUGCCUGGUUAGCUUAUUUGGACGCGGGUUCGAUUCCCGCCAUCUCCAA
This 365-nucleotide transfer-messenger RNA is filed under the name Treponema sp. It matches the Rfam family "transfer-messenger RNA". Rfam says of the family: Bacterial tmRNA, also known as 10Sa RNA or SsrA, is named for its dual tRNA and mRNA-like properties. Its role is to liberate the mRNA from a stalled ribosome. To accomplish this part of the tmRNA is used as a reading frame that ends in a translation stop signal. Lineage: Bacteria; Pseudomonadati; Spirochaetota; Spirochaetia; Treponematales; Treponemataceae. The record is from RNAcentral.